GGCAGUUCUCAGGUGAUGCACACUGGAGUCAGGCUCCUUCUUCUCUAGUUCCAGGUGCAUCACCAGAGAACCGGA
Molecule: non-coding RNA, 75 nt
Organism: Myotis lucifugus (little brown bat)
Lineage: Eukaryota; Metazoa; Chordata; Mammalia; Chiroptera; Vespertilionidae
Source: Rfam